This 70-nucleotide transfer RNA is filed under the name Physiculus japonicus (Japanese codling). RNAcentral describes it as "tRNA-Arg". Lineage: Eukaryota; Metazoa; Chordata; Actinopteri; Gadiformes; Moridae. RNAcentral also lists the same sequence under 1 other name. The record is from RNAcentral.
AGAUGGUUAGUAUUAAAUAAAAUACUUGGUUUCGGCCCAGGAGUUUGUGGUGUAAACCCACAACCAUUUA